AUUGAACGCUGGCGGCAGGCCUAACACAUGCAAGUCGAGCGGAUGAAGGGAGCUUGCUCCUGGAUUCAGCGGCGGACGGGUGAGUAAUGCCUAGGAAUCUGCCUGGUAGUGGGGGAUAACGUCCGGAAACGGGCGCUAAUACCACAUACGUCCUGAGGGAGAAAGUGGGGGAUCUUCGGACCUCACGCUAUCAGAUGAGCCUAGGUCGGAUUAGCUAGUUGGUGGGGUAAAGGCCUACCAAGGCGACGAUCCGUAACUGGUCCGAGAGGAUGAUCAGUCACACUGGAACUGAGACACGGUCCAGACUCCUACGGGAGGCAGCAGUGGGGAAUAUUGGACAAUGGGCGAAAGCCUGAUCCAGCCAUGCCGCGUGUGUGAAGAAGGUCUUCGGAUUGUAAAGCACUUUAAGUUGGGAGGAAGGGCAGUAAGUUAAUACCUUGCUGUUUUGACGUUACCAACAGAAUAAGCACCGGCUAACUUCGUG
This 484-nucleotide ribosomal RNA is filed under the name uncultured bacterium. Its description in RNAcentral is "partial 16S ribosomal RNA". It matches the Rfam family "Bacterial small subunit ribosomal RNA", at positions 30 to 507 of the family's 1533-position model. The record is from RNAcentral.